This 857-nucleotide ribosomal RNA is filed under the name archaeon enrichment culture clone K23_3131. Its description in RNAcentral is "bacterial SSU rRNA". It matches the Rfam family "Archaeal small subunit ribosomal RNA", at positions 21 to 859 of the family's 1478-position model. The record is from RNAcentral.
CCCCACUGCUAUCGGGAUAGGACUAAGACAUGCUAGUCGAGUGACUCAGGCAAAACGAGUCACGGCACACAGCUCAGUAACACGUGGCUAAUCUGCCCUUGGGACAAGAACAACCCCGGGAAACUGGGGCUAACUCUUGAUAGGCGAAGAACACUGGAAUGUGUCUUCACCCAAAAAACUUCACGUUAUCCUCGUGAAGUCGCCCAAGGAUGAGGCCGCGACCGAUCAGGUUGUUGGCGAGGUAAUGGCUCACCAAGCCUUUUACCGGUGCGGGCCGUGGGAGCGGGAGCCCGGAGAUGGGUACUGAGACAAGGACCCAGGCCCUACGGGGCGCAGCAGUCGCGAAAACUUUGCAAUAAGCGAAAGCUUGACAGGGCUAUCCCGAGUGCCAUCCGCUGAGGAAGGCUUUUACCCAGUCUAGAACGCUGGGGGAAUAAGGAGAGGGCAAGUCUGGUGUCAGCCGCCGCGGUAAUACCAGCUCUCCGAGUGGUGUGGAUGUUUAUUGGGCCUAAAGCAUCCGUAGCUGGCUAAGUUAGUCCCUUGUUAAAUCCACCGAAUUAAUCGUUGGAUUGCGGGGGAUACUGCUUGGCUAGGGGACGAGAGAGGCAGACGGUAUUUUCGGGGUAGGGGUGAAAUCCUAUAAUCCCGGGAAGACCACCAGUGGCGAAGGCUGUCUGCUAGAACGCGCCCGACGGUGAGGGAUGAAAGCUGGGGGAGCGAACCGGAUUAGAUACCCGGGUAGUCCCAGCUGUAAACGAUGCAGGCUAGGUGUUUGGACGGCCACGUGCCGUUCUAGUGCCGCAGGGAAGCUGUUAAGCCUGCCACCUGGGGAGUACGAUCGCAAGAUUGAAACUUAA